CAAUAGCGUAUAUUAAAGUUGUUGUGGUUAAAAAGCUCGUAGUUGAACCUUGGGCCUGGCUGGCCGGUCCGCCUCACCGCGUGUCACUGGUCCGGCCGGGUCUUUCCCUCUGUGGAACCACAUGCCCUUCACUGGGCGUGGCGGGGAAACAGGACUUUUACUUUGAAAAAAUUAGAGUGCUCCAGGCAGGCCUAUGCUCGAAUACAUUAGCAUGGAAUAAUAAAAUAGGACGUGCGGUUCUAUUUUGUUGGUUUCUAGGACCGCCGUAAUGAUUAAUAGGGACAGUCGGGGGCAUCAGUAUUCAAUUGUCAGAGGUGAAAUUCUUGGAUUUAUUGAAGACUAACUACUGCGAAAGCAUUUGCCAAGGAUGUUUUCAUUAA
Molecule: ribosomal RNA, 380 nt
Filed under: uncultured eukaryote
Lineage: Eukaryota
Description: partial 18S ribosomal RNA
Rfam family: Eukaryotic small subunit ribosomal RNA
Source: RNAcentral